This 427-nucleotide ribosomal RNA is filed under the name uncultured bacterium. RNAcentral describes it as "partial 16S ribosomal RNA". It matches the Rfam family "Bacterial small subunit ribosomal RNA", at positions 355 to 774 of the family's 1533-position model. The record is from RNAcentral.
UGGGGAAUAUUGCACAAUGGGCGCAAGCCUGAUGCAGCCAUGCCGCGUGUAUGAAGAAGGCCUUCGGGUUGUAAAGUACUUUCAGCGAGGAGGAAGGCGUUGUGGUUAAUAACCGCAGCGAUUGACGUUACUCGCAGAAGAAGCACCGGCUAACUCCGUGCCAGCAGCCGCGGUAAUACGGAGGGUGCAAGCGUUAAUCGGAAUUACUGGGCGUAAAGCGCACGCAGGCGGUCUGUCAAGUCGGAUGUGAAAUCCCCGGGCUCAACCUGGGAACUGCAUCCGAAACUGGCAGGCUAGAGUCUUGUAGAGGGGGGUAGAAUUCCAGGUGUAGCGGUGAAAUGCGUAGAGAUCUGGAGGAAUACCGGUGGCGAAGGCGGCCCCCUGGACAAAGACUGACGCUCUGGUUCGAAAGCGUGUUCAGCAAACA